This 87-nucleotide small nucleolar RNA is filed under the name Thermothielavioides terrestris NRRL 8126. RNAcentral's name for it is "Thielavia terrestris NRRL 8126 A. fumigatus snoRNA Afu_513". It matches the Rfam family "A. fumigatus snoRNA Afu_513". The record is from Rfam by way of RNAcentral. Lineage: Eukaryota; Fungi; Ascomycota; Sordariomycetes; Sordariales; Chaetomiaceae.
UUCCGUGAUGAAGCGGCACUGGGCUCCGAUAUCACAUGAGCAGACAUGCCACGUUGCGACAGGCCUAGAAAACCUCGUCCACUGAUC